GGGGUCACUUUGGAGGCAUGAAUUGAGCCAGAUUAUUAGUAAAAUGCCUUCCAACUGUGAGCUUCUGUGCUGUGUAGGCGAUAGGAGGGCCUGGAUCUUGUGUGGGGAUCUCUCUACUCAUGCAGGCCUUAAGAAGGUGAGGAAACAGAGACCUGGAGAGAAUAAAUGGCUUGUUGAGCCCAGGAUGGCCCUGGGAUUGGCUUUGGGGUUCUGCCUUCCUCCUCCUGACUCCACCAUGGAUCCCACACUCUGGGCCGGUGAAUGGUGGCUAACCUACAAGAUGUUUAAAUGCGGAGUGGACUUCCUUAUUCCCUCAGCAGAAAUCCCUUGGUCAGUCUGAGCAGAAACUUACAAAGCCCCCCAGAAAGAGAGAGAUGACUUCCAAGUCUCUGCGGGACCCUGAGAGAGAAAGGAGCAAAACCCUUUCCCAGGCUGACCCUUUGAGCUCUCUUCCUUGCUCUACAUCUGGGUUUGGGUCGGUCCUUUCUGCAGUUCUGAGUGGAAUCGUCAGUACUGCUGGGGAUAGAACCCGACUCCAUCCACCUAGAGAAACUUGUACUCAUCCCUUUAACCCCCUUUGGUAGCACAUUCCACCACCCCACUCUCUAGGUGCUCAAGGCCCCAAUUUCCAGCCCUAAAAAUGGAGGAGAAUAUAGCUUAUAAAGUACCUCCCUGUUCCAAAGUCCUAUGUUCUUUGAUUUCCCCCCAGAUUUGAUGUUUGCUCUAUGGGAUCUUAGAUUGGAAGCUCAGGGGCCUUUAGAAAUUAUGUAGUCCAACUCUCAUCUCCCCUGCCCCAUUUUACAGAUGAGGAAAAUGGGGGCCACUGGAGUUUAAAAGGAUUAGGCAAGGUCACUGGUAGAGACAGAAAUUUCUAUCCAUUUCCCUGAUUCCAAAUCCAUCUACUUCUGUCACUUCAUGUUCUAUGUUCUAUGGCUUCUCCGGGUUCUGACAUUCUUCCAGUUCUGAUUUUUCUGUUCUGAAGGUCCCUUCUGGUUUUGAUGUUGUGUGCCUGUGUCUGCUCUAGCUCUGAGCUACUGAGUCUGAGAUUCUGAGGCUCCUGUUUGGAUCCAACAUUCUAUGGAGUGAGUAUUAAAUGACAAUAAUGGAACUAGCACUGACUUUUAAUAGUCCCAGGAUCUGUGUUUUCUUCUCCCUGACCUACAACUCCUCUUCCCCCUUGGUAGAUGGUCCUGCCCGCUGCCCUCACCCACCCCAAAGAGGUGAUGAGUCUUUCCAAAUUCAGCUAGAGUUGUCUAAAUGACAGAUGCUGCUCAUUGCCUGGCCUUCCUCCCUUGGCAGGACCUGCCAGAGCUGGUGUUCCAUUGGUCUGACUUUCGAGA
RNAcentral lists this long non-coding RNA (1340 nucleotides) under Monodelphis domestica (gray short-tailed opossum). RNAcentral describes it as "lncRNA (ENSMODG00000033451.2)". The record is from RNAcentral. Lineage: Eukaryota; Metazoa; Chordata; Mammalia; Didelphimorphia; Didelphidae.